CCUCCUAAAGAGUAACGGAGGAGUACGAAGGUGCGCUCAGCGUGGUCGGAAAUCACGCGUAGAGUAUAAAGGCAAAAGCGCGCUUAACUGCGAGACCCACAAGUCGAGCAGGUACGAAAGUAGGUCUUAGUGAUCCGGUGGUUCUGUAUGGAAGGGCCAUCGCUCAACGGAUAAAAGGUACUCUGGGGAUAACAGGCUGAUACCGCCCAAGAGUUCAUAUCGACGGCGGUGUUUGGCACCUCGAUGUCGGCUCAUCUCAUCCUGGGGCUGAAGCAGGUCCCAAGGGUAUGGCUGUUCGCCAUUUAAAGAGGUACGCGAGCUGGGUUUAGAACGUCGUGAGACAGUUCGGUCCCUAUCUACCGUGGGCGCUGGAAAUUUGAGAGGAUCUGCUCCUAGUACGAGAGGACCAGAGUGGACGAACCUCUGGUGUACCGGUUGUGACGCCAGUCGCAUCGCCGGGUAGCUAUGUUCGGAAGGGAUAACCGCUGAAAGCAUCUAAGCGGGAAGCCUACCUCAAGAUAAGAUUUCCCUAGGACUUUAUGUCCUCUAAAGAGCCGUUCGAGACUAGGACGUUGAUAGGUUGGAUGUGGAAGCAUAGUGAUAUGUGAAGCUGACCAAUACUAAUUGCUCGUGAGGCUUGACUAUACAACACCCAAGCAGUUG
This 663-nucleotide ribosomal RNA is filed under the name Acinetobacter baumannii. RNAcentral's name for it is "bacterial LSU rRNA". It matches the Rfam family "Bacterial large subunit ribosomal RNA", at positions 2286 to 2925 of the family's 2925-position model. The record is from RNAcentral. Lineage: Bacteria; Pseudomonadati; Pseudomonadota; Gammaproteobacteria; Moraxellales; Moraxellaceae.